This is a long non-coding RNA of Rhea pennata, 1278 nucleotides long. RefSeq lists it as uncharacterized. NCBI's taxonomy places the organism in Eukaryota, Metazoa, Chordata, Aves, Rheiformes, Rheidae. The record is from RefSeq and is a predicted model, not a curated record. The transcript has 3 exons.
CUCGCCCUCCCCGGCGCCGCCGCCCGCCGCGGGGUAACGGUCGCCGCGGGGUAACGGUCGCCGGCGGCCGGCACGGACCCGCCCCCCCCGGCACCUGCCCGCGCCCCGGCGGGGCGGCCGCCCCGCUCCUCACCUGUUCAGCACUUUCCUGAUCCGCUGGCGCACGCUGAAGGAGGACGCGGAGAUGCCGCCCCGGCCGCCGCCGCCGCCGCCGCCCUCCGCCGGCAGCUGAGCUAUAUGUCAUCUCCCUCAUCCGCUGGUGCGAUGGGAAUGCAUCCAGGAAUCACCCUGCCUUUAUCCUUCGAGACAUGGUGUGGCAUGCGUUGCCCUCGGGAAACUAUUUGCUCUGAGCAUCUCGGCGGUCUCAAGUGAAUAGAUUGGGAGACUAGAUCCAUCAGAGCAUAUUGUUCCAGCCGUGGAAUGCUUUUGAAGAUGUGGAUCACUCGCUCAAAAUCCUCUAAAGUUCAUUCUGAGUUCUGGGCAAAAAGCCAACUGCUUUCAGUGCGAGGCAAACCUCAGUUGAAUCGGAUUAUGCUGCUAGGAGAUUCUCCGCUCUCGUAUCCCCCCCCUAUGGCAACCACAUGUUCCAUGAGUGGAGAAAAGAUAAGGUUCGUUCUCCCUGACAGCACUUGGAAGUGGAAGGAACAGAGCUUCAAAAGCAUCAGAUGUUUCCCCUAGCCUGAAAAUGAUGUGUCACAACUUUAUUUUCAGUAUUGGUCAUUAUAUGCAGCCUUCUCCAUUGUACACCAUUGCCUUUUGGCUUCAGCACCCCACACUCGCACACUCAUUUCUGUCUCAUACCUCUAGUACAUAUCUGACAAUGUUUUCAAGUCCUUCAUUAAACAUACUUUCUCCAUAAUUGCGUCUGUAUGACAACUGCAAAUACUCUGGAAAUACUCUCUGUGUCUAUAAUGACAACAUUUAGAUGAGAAAUGUAUUUGCUUCCUUAUGUUCAGUGGCCAUUUCAGACUAAUCUGACAGCUGAGCAAGUCAGAACAAUGGUGUUUGUGUAACUUUAUUUCUACUGAUUAAACCAAAUGAAUGCAUACCUGAAGUCCAGUUUGUGAUCUGCCAAUAAAGAGGAGGUCUGUAGGAAGAUACUGCCCUCAGGACAGUCACUGUAUUUAAAAGCUCGUUUUUUACUGAUAGAGAGGGAAGCUGUUGGCCCAUGCACACACCCCUUCUACCACCAUGGCUAAAUGGAUUUCUUGCAUAUACGUUUUUUAUUAAUGCAAUACUCAGCUUUUGCUCAGUGUCCAAUAAAAGUCUUUCCAAGUA